Molecule: ribosomal RNA, 484 nt
Filed under: uncultured bacterium
Lineage: Bacteria
Description: partial 16S ribosomal RNA
Rfam family: Bacterial small subunit ribosomal RNA
Source: RNAcentral
AUUGAACGCUGGCGGCAUGCUUUACACAUGCAAGUCGAACGGCAGCGCGGGCUUCGGCCUGGCGGCGAGUGGCGAACGGGUGAGUAAUACAUCGGAACGUGCCCAGUAGUGGGGGAUAGCUCGGCGAAAGCCGGAUUAAUACCGCAUACGACCUGAGGGUGAAAGCGGGGGAUCUUCGGACCUCGCGCUAUUGGAGCGGCCGAUGGCAGAUUAGCUAGUUGGUGGGGUAAAGGCCUACCAAGGCGACGAUCUGUAGCUGGUCUGAGAGGACGACCAGCCACACUGGGACUGAGACACGGCCCAGACUCCUACGGGAGGCGGCAGUGGGGAAUUUUGGACAAUGGGCGAAAGCCUGAUCCAGCAAUGCCGCGUGUGUGAUGAAGGCCUUCGGGUUGUAAAGCACUUUUGGCGGGAACGAAAAGGACUGUGCCAAUACCAUGGUUCGAUGACGGUACCCGCAGAAUAAGCACCGGCUAACUACGUG